This 332-nucleotide unclassified non-coding RNA is filed under the name rhizosphere metagenome. RNAcentral describes it as "partial ribosomal RNA internal transcribed spacer region". The record is from RNAcentral.
GUAGGUGAACCUGCGGAAGGAUCAUUAACACGUUAUCACACGUUAAAUCAAGUUAACAGAGGGACUGAUGACUUUUUCUUCUCCUCGAAAGAGGGGGGAAAAAAGUGAACUUCCUUCUUUCCCAUCAACUGUUGUGUUUUGUCAUUUUUUGACAAACCUUAAUCACCCCUCUUUUUUAUAAUCUUUUUCUUUGGGGGUGAUGCAAAUCAUCCACAAAAAAAAGUUAUAAAAUAUGAUUUUUCUUUUUUCUAUUCAAAAGAUGCUUCCUAAUGGGAGCUAAUCUUUUAAUAACUAACUCAAAACAACUCUUAGCAACGGAUAUCUUGGUUCCC